Molecule: transfer RNA, 73 nt
Filed under: Endocarpon pusillum Z07020
Lineage: Eukaryota; Fungi; Ascomycota; Eurotiomycetes; Verrucariales; Verrucariaceae
Description: tRNA-Val (CAC) (tRNA-Val-CAC-1-1)
Rfam family: tRNA
About the family: Transfer RNA (tRNA) molecules are approximately 80 nucleotides in length.
Source: Rfam by way of RNAcentral
GGCCGAAUGGUGUAGUGGUUAUCACGUGUCCUUCACACGGACAAGGUCCUGAGUUCGACCCUCAGUUUGGUCA